This 268-nucleotide long non-coding RNA is filed under the name Physcomitrium patens. RNAcentral describes it as "long non-coding RNA (PPAT_LNC003601)". Lineage: Eukaryota; Viridiplantae; Streptophyta; Bryopsida; Funariales; Funariaceae. The record is from RNAcentral.
AGACGACAAGCUCUACCUCCUCUUAUAGAAGUGGACAAUAAUGAAGAGUUUGAAGUAGAAGAAGUCUUAGAUUCAAGGCGACGUUGAAAUAAAAUAAAAUAUCUUAUCCAUUGGCGCGGAUAUGAUAUUAGUGAAUGCACAUGGGAGCCAAUGAAGAAUCUUGCAAAUGCAAUAAAGGCGGUGGAGGCUUUUUAUCGACGACAUCCAUCAAAAUCAAGAUGAAAACCUUCUUUAUAAAAGAAACAACAUCUAGGCAAGAUAACAUUCU